This 21-nucleotide non-coding RNA is filed under the name Mus musculus (house mouse). The record is from RNAcentral. Lineage: Eukaryota; Metazoa; Chordata; Mammalia; Rodentia; Muridae.
UUAUCAAAAAAGACAAGGAGG